Molecule: ribosomal RNA, 467 nt
Filed under: uncultured bacterium
Lineage: Bacteria
Description: partial 16S ribosomal RNA
Rfam family: Bacterial small subunit ribosomal RNA
Source: RNAcentral
ACGAACGCUGGCGGCGUGCUUAACACAUGCAAGUCGAACGGAAAGGCCCUGCUUUUGUGGGGUGCUCGAGUGGCGAACGGGUGAGUAACACGUGAGUAACCUGCCCUUGACUUUGGGAUAACUUCAGGAAACUGGGGCUAAUACCGGAUAGGAGCUCCUGCUGCAUGGUGGGGGUUGGAAAGUUUCGGCGGUUGGGGAUGGACUCGCGGCUUAUCAGCUUGUUGGUGGGGUAGUGGCUUACCAAGGCUUUGACGGGUAGCCGGCCUGAGAGGGUGACCGGCCACAUUGGGACUGAGAUACGGCCCAGACUCCUACGGGAGGCAGCAGUGGGGAAUAUUGCACAAUGGGCGGAAGCCUGAUGCAGCAACGCCGCGUGCGGGAUGACGGCCUUCGGGUUGUAAACCGCUUUCGCCUGUGACGAAGCGUGAGUGACGGUAAUGGGUAAAGAAACACCGGCUAACUACGUG